RNAcentral lists this ribosomal RNA (466 nucleotides) under uncultured bacterium. RNAcentral's name for it is "partial 16S ribosomal RNA". It matches the Rfam family "Bacterial small subunit ribosomal RNA", at positions 28 to 507 of the family's 1533-position model. The record is from RNAcentral.
GAUGAACGCUGGCGGCGUGCUUAACACAUGCAAGUCGAACGAUGAAGCCCAGCUUGCUGGGUGUGCUCGUGGCGAACGGGUGAGUAACACGUGAGUAUCCUCCCCUUAACUCUGUGAUAAGCCUGGGAGACUGGGUCUAAUACCGGGUAGAAGCGUUCCCCGCAUGGUGGGGGUUGGAGAGAUUUGUCGGUUUUGGAUGGACUCGCGGCUUAUCAGCUUGUUGGUGGGGUAUUGGCUCACCAAGGCGACGACGGGUAGCCGGCCUGAGAGGGGGACCGGCCACACUGGGACUGAGACACGGCCCAGACUCCUACGGGAGGCAGCAGUGGGGAAUAUUGCACAAUGGGCGCAAGCCUGAUGCAGCGACGCCGCGUGAGGGAUGACGGCCUUCGGGUUGUAAACCGCUUUCAGUAGGGAAGAAGCGAAAGUGACGGUACCUGGAGAAGAAGCACCGGCUAACUACGUG